GGAAGGGUGGCUCAGUGGUAGAGCGCUGCCAGCCAACGUGCCAGAACUCGGCCUGGCAGUUUCCCAUGCAGGGCUCCGCGUGGUUCGAAUCCCGCCCCUUCCA
RNAcentral lists this transfer RNA (103 nucleotides) under Haloarcula pellucida. Its description in RNAcentral is "Halomicroarcula pellucida tRNA". It matches the Rfam family "tRNA". Rfam says of the family: Transfer RNA (tRNA) molecules are approximately 80 nucleotides in length. Their secondary structure includes four short double-helical elements and three loops (D, anti-codon, and T loops). Further hydrogen bonds mediate the characteristic L-shaped molecular structure. tRNAs have two regions of fundamental functional importance: the anti-codon, which is responsible for specific mRNA codon recognition, and the 3' end, to which the tRNAs corresponding amino acid is attached (by aminoacyl-tRNA synthetases). tRNAs cope with the degeneracy of the genetic code in two manners: having more than one tRNA (with a specific anti-codon) for a particular amino acid; and 'wobble' base-pairing, i.e. permitting non-standard base-pairing at the 3rd anti-codon position. RNAcentral also lists the same sequence under 2 other names. Lineage: Archaea; Methanobacteriati; Methanobacteriota; Halobacteria; Halobacteriales; Haloarculaceae. The record is from Rfam by way of RNAcentral.